CCUACGGGGGGCAGCAGUGGGGAAUAUUGCACAAUGGGGGAAACCCUGAUGCAGCAACGCCGCGUGAGUGAGGAAGUAUUUCGGUAUGUAAAGCUCUAUCAGCAGGGAAUAGAAAAGAAGGUACCUGAAAAAGAAGCCCCGGCUAACUACGUGCCAGCAGCCGCGGUAAUACGUAGGGGGCAAGCGUUAUCCGGAUUUACUGGGUGUAAAGGGAGCGUAGACGGAAAGGCAAGUCAGAAGUGAAAACCCAAGGCUCAACCAUGGGACUGCUUUUGAAACUGUCAAACUAGAGUACGGGAGAGGUA
This 305-nucleotide ribosomal RNA is filed under the name uncultured bacterium. RNAcentral's name for it is "bacterial SSU rRNA". It matches the Rfam family "Bacterial small subunit ribosomal RNA", at positions 338 to 659 of the family's 1533-position model. The record is from RNAcentral.